Molecule: ribosomal RNA, 282 nt
Filed under: unidentified marine bacterioplankton
Lineage: Bacteria
Description: partial 16S ribosomal RNA
Rfam family: Bacterial small subunit ribosomal RNA
Source: RNAcentral
AUGCAAGUCGAACGAUGAAGUUCCUUCGGGAAUGGGAUUAGCGGCGAACGGGUGAGGAACACGUGAGAAACCCGCCUUUCAUCCUGGGAUAACACCGGGAAACCGGUGCUAAUACCGGAUACUCCAUCUUGGCGGCAUCGCCGAGCUGGGAAAAAUUUUGAUGAAAGAUGGUCUCGCGGCCUAUCAGCUAGUUGGUGAGGUAAAGGCUCACCAAGGCGACGACGGGUAGCCGGCCUGAGAGGGCGACCGGCCACACUGGGACUGAGACACGGCCCAGACUCC